Molecule: long non-coding RNA, 220 nt
Filed under: Elaeis guineensis (African oil palm)
Lineage: Eukaryota; Viridiplantae; Streptophyta; Magnoliopsida; Arecales; Arecaceae
Description: long non-coding RNA (EGUI_LNC059590)
Source: RNAcentral
UUGUGGAAUUCAUUGAUUUAAUUUUAUUCCUUUAGGGACAUGAUUUAUUUCUAUGAAAUUGGAUUCUCUCUAAAUCUGUUCCUACCACAUCAUAUGAAAUAUGGUAUGGUGAGAACUGAAUCUUGGUUAUUUCAAGAUCCAAGAAUGACCAGCCUGUGUCAAGGACAGUAGGUGGAUAUAUUGGAGGAUAGGUCUAUAAAGCUCAUCCUAAAAGAGUUUG